RNAcentral lists this ribosomal RNA (649 nucleotides) under Xanthoporia radiata. Its description in RNAcentral is "eukaryotic LSU rRNA". The stretch from base 266 to 419 matches the Rfam family "5.8S ribosomal RNA". The record is from RNAcentral. Lineage: Eukaryota; Fungi; Basidiomycota; Agaricomycetes; Hymenochaetales; Hymenochaetaceae.
UAUUACUGAAUUUGAAAUCGGAGGUUUGUUGCUGGCGUGGAAACACGUAUGUGCACGGCCUUCGUGCUCAUCCACUCACCCUUGUGCACCUUAUCGAAGUUAGUAAUACUUUUCUAUCGGGCUGUAAUUGGGCUGCUGGUAUUAUUAGUCGCAGGGCGAAAAUGCUAGUGCUCUUGGUCUGAGGGGAAGGGACGAACACUUUGACUUUAUAAACACAUACUUUGUCUUGUAGAAUGUAAUGCUCCUUGUGGGCGAAAUGAAAUACAACUUUCAACAACGGAUCUCUUGGCUCUCGCAUCGAUGAAGAACGCAGCGAAAUGCGAUAAGUAAUGUGAAUUGCAGAAUUCAGUGAAUCAUCGAAUCUUUGAACGCACCUUGCGCCCCUUGGUUUUCCGAGGGGCAUGCCUGUUUGAGUGUCAUGUUUAUCUCAAUCUCCUUGUCUUCUUAAUUGAAGUCUCGGGGCUUGGAUCUGGAGGCCUUGCUGGCAGUUAUGUCGGCUCCUCUUAAAUACAUUAGCUGGACUUUGGUUCGCGUUACUGGUGUAAUAGAUUUAUGUUCGCCAGACGCUUGCCUAAUGGGUUUGCUUCUAAUCGUCUUCGGACAAGGUCUUUGACCUUCUUGACACCUUUGACCUCAAAUCAGGAGGACA